RNAcentral lists this ribosomal RNA (351 nucleotides) under uncultured bacterium. Its description in RNAcentral is "partial 16S ribosomal RNA". It matches the Rfam family "Bacterial small subunit ribosomal RNA", at positions 338 to 703 of the family's 1533-position model. The record is from RNAcentral.
CCUACGGGAGGCAGCAGUGGGGGAUAUUGGACAAUGGGGGAAACCCUGAUCCAGCGACGCCGCGUGAGUGAAGAAGUAUUUCGGUAUGUAAAGCUCUGUCAGCAGGGAAGAAAGAAAUGACGGGACCGGACCAAGAAGCCCCGGCUAACUACGUGCCAGCAGCCGCGGUAAUACGUAGGGGGCAAGCGUUAUCCGGAAUUACUGGGUGUAAAGGGAGCGUAGACGGUGCUGCAAGUCUGGAGGGAAAGGCGGGGGCCCAACCCCCGGACUGCUCUGGAAACUGUGUAACUUGAGUGCAGGAGAGGUAAGCGGCAUUCCUCGUGUAGCGGUGACUUGCGUAGAUCUUAGGAG